This 230-nucleotide long non-coding RNA is filed under the name Elaeis guineensis (African oil palm). RNAcentral describes it as "long non-coding RNA (EGUI_LNC060251)". Lineage: Eukaryota; Viridiplantae; Streptophyta; Magnoliopsida; Arecales; Arecaceae. The record is from RNAcentral.
CGGCCAUGGGUAUCUAUCCUUUGCGAUCAUCAUUUAGAUUUAGUUCUUAAAGAUAAUCUCUAUCAUUUGCAUGUUGAUGCAUAUGUGAACUUAAUUGAACAAUCAGUGAAUGCCAUUGGAUCUGAAAGAUCCAAAAUUGAGAUAAAAUUUAAAGUAUAUGUGGAACCUAUAGCUAAGUCAUAUUGGAGAAGAAAUGAUUAACAAACUGAAAAAAUAUGAACUUGGGCUCA